GUUCUAACGUUGGCCCCUUACCGGGGUUGCGGACAGUGUCUGGUGGGUAGUUUGACUGGGGCGGUCUCCUCCUAAAGCGUAACGGAGGAGCACGAAGGUUAGCUAAUCCUGGUCGGACAUCAGGAGGUUAGUGCAAUGGCAUAAGCUAGCUUGACUGCGAGCGUGACGGCGCGAGCAGGUGCGAAAGCAGGUCAUAGUGAUCCGGUGGUUCUGAAUGGAAGGGCCAUCGCUCAACGGAUAAAAGGUACUCCGGGGAUAACAGGCUGAUACCGCCCAAGAGUUCAUAUCGACGGCGGUGUUUGGCACCUCGAUGUCGGCUCAUCACAUCCUGGGGCUGAAGUAGGUCCCAAGGGUAUGGCUGUUCGCCAUUUAAAGUGGUACGCGAGCUGGGUUUAGAACGUCGUGAGACAGUUCGGUCCCUAUCUGCCGUGGGCGCUGGAGAAUUGAGGGGGGCUGCUCCUAGUACGAGAGGACCGGAGUGGACGCAUCACUGGUGUUCGGGUUGUCAUGCCAAUGGCACUGCCCGGUAGCUAAAUGCGGAAGAGAUAAGUGCUGAAAGCAUCUAAGCACGAAACUUGCCCCGAGAUGAGUUCUCCCUGAGACUUUAAGUCUCCUGAAGGAACGUUGAAGACGACGACGUUGAUAGGCCGGGUGUGUAAGCGCAGCGAUGCGUUGAGCUAACCGGUACUAAUGAACCGUGAGGCUUAACCUU
RNAcentral lists this ribosomal RNA (712 nucleotides) under Klebsiella pneumoniae. RNAcentral's name for it is "partial 23S ribosomal RNA". It matches the Rfam family "Bacterial large subunit ribosomal RNA", at positions 2219 to 2925 of the family's 2925-position model. Lineage: Bacteria; Pseudomonadati; Pseudomonadota; Gammaproteobacteria; Enterobacterales; Enterobacteriaceae. The record is from RNAcentral.